RNAcentral lists this long non-coding RNA (7055 nucleotides) under Citrus x clementina. RNAcentral's name for it is "Citrus clementina (C. clementina) long non-coding RNA (CCLE_LNC002200)". Lineage: Eukaryota; Viridiplantae; Streptophyta; Magnoliopsida; Sapindales; Rutaceae. The record is from RNAcentral.
GUGGGGGGAGUGGGCGAAGUUCGUCCGCGGGACUCGGAAUGGCACCAUACUUGGCGGGCUGCCUCCGUGUGCCAAAAAUAGGCCACGGGCACAGCCGUGCCCAAAAAUCAGCCCCCGAAGGUUGGGGUCCCAAGACCCCCCAGCGGAAAAAUGGCCAAAAAAAGGGUGGGCUAUAGCCUUGGUGGGGGGCGUGGGCGAAGUUCGUCCGCGGGACUCGGAAUGGCCCCAGACUUGGCGGGCGGCCUUCGUGUGCCAAAAAUAGGCCACGGGCACAGCCGCGCCCAAAAAUCAGCCCCCGAAGGUCGGGGUCCCAGGACCACCCAGCGGAAAAAUGGCCAAAAAAAGGGUGGGCUAUAGCCUUGGUGGGGGGCGUGGGCGAAGUUUGUCCGCGGGACUCGGAAUGGCCCCAGACUUGGCGGGCGGCCUCCGUGUGCCAAAAAUAGGCGACGGGCACAGCCGUGCCCAAAAAUCAGCCCCCGAAGGUCGGGGUCCCAAGACCCCCCAGCGGAAAAAUGGCCAAAAAACGGGUGGGCUAUAGCCUAUGUGGGGGGCGUGGGCGAAGUUCGUCCGCCGGACUUGGAAUGGCCCCAGACUUGGCGGGCGGCCUCCGUGUGCCAAAAAUAGGCCACGGGUACAGCCGCUCCCAAAAAUCAGCCCCCGAAGGUCGGAGUCCCAAGACCCCCCAGCGGAAAAAUGGCCAAAAAACGGGUGGGCUAUAGCCUUGGAGGGGGGCGUGGGCGAAGUUCGUCCGCGGGACUCGGAAUGGCCCCAGAUUUGGCGGGCGGCCUCCGUGUGCCAAAAAUAGGCCACAGGCACAGCCGCGCCCAAAAAUCAGCCCCCGAAGGUCGGGGUCCCAAGACCCCCCAGCGGAAAAAUGGCCAAAAGACGAGUGGGCUAUAGCCUUGGUGGGGGGAAUGGGCGAAGUUCGUCCGUGGGACUCGGAAUGGCACCAGACUUGGCGGGAGUGGGCGAAGUUCGUCCGCGGGACUCGAAAUGGCACCAUACUUGGCGGGUGGCCUCCGUGUGCCAAAAAUAGGCCACGGGCACAGCCGCGCCCAAAAAUCAGCCCCCGAAGGUCGGGGUCCCAAGACCCCCCAGCGGAAAAAUGGCCAAAAAAUGGGUGGGCUAUAGCCUAUGUGGGGGGCGUGGGCGAAGUUCGUCCGCCGGACUCGCAAUGGCCCCAGACUUGGCGGGCGGCCUCCGUGUGCCAAAAAUAGGCCACGGGCACAGCCGCGCCCAAAAAUCAGCCCCCGAAGGUCGGAGUCCCAAGAACCCCCCAGCGGAAAAAUGGCCAAAAAACGGGUGGGCUAUAGCCUUGGUGGGGGGCGUGGGCGAAGUUCGUCCGCGGGACUCGGAAUGGCCCCAGACUUUGCGGGCGGCCUCCGUGUGCCAAAAAUAGGCCACGGGCACAGCCGCGCCCAAAAAUCAGCCCCCGAAGGUCGGGGUCCCAAGACCCCCCGGCGGAAAAAUGGCCAAAAGACGGGUGGGCUAUAGCCUUGGUGGGGGGAGUGGGCGAAGUUCGUCCGCGGGACUCGGAAUGGCACCAGACUUGGCGGGCGGCCUCCGUUUGCCAAAAAUAGGCCACGGGCACAGCCGCGCCCAAAAAUCAGCCCCCGAAGGUCGGGGUCCCAAGACCCCCCAGCGGAAAAAUGGCCAAAAAACGGGUGGGCUAUAGCCUUGGUGGGGGGAAUGGGCGAAGUUCGUCCGCGGGACUCGGAAUGGCACCAUACUUGGCGGGCGGCCUCCGUGUGCAAAAAUAGGCCACGGGCACAGCCGUGCCCAAAAAUCAGCCCCCGACGGUCGGGGUACCAAGACCCCCCAGCGGAAAAAUGGCCAAAAAAAGGGUGGGCUAUAGCCUUGGUGGGGGGCGUGGGCGAAGUUCGUCCGCCGGACUCGGAAUGGCCCCAGACUUUGCGGGCGGCCUCCGUACGCCAAAACUAGGCCACGGGCACAGCCGCACCCAAAAAUCAGCCCCCGAAGGUCGGGGUCCCAAGAGACGCCAGCGGAAAAAUGGCCAAAAAUCGGGUGGGCUAUAGCCUUGGUGGGGGGCGUGGGCGAAGUUCGUCCGCGGGACUCGGAAUGGCCCCAGACUUGGCGGUCGGCCUCCGCGUGCCAAAAAUAGGCCACGGGCACAGCCGCGCCCAAAAAUCAGCCCCCGAAGGUCGGGGUCCCAAGACCCCCCAGCGGAAAAAUGGCCAAAAAACGGGUGGGCUAUAGCCUUGGUGGGGGGCGUGGGCGAAAAUCGUCCGCCGCACUCGGAAUGGCCCCAGACUUGGCGGGCGGCCUCCGUGUGCCAAAAAUAGGCCACGGGCACAGCCGCGCCCAAAAAUCAGCCCCCGAAGGUCACGGUCCCAAGACCCCCCAGCGGAAAAAUGGCCAAAAAAGGGUGGGCUAUAGCCUUCGUGGGGGGCGUGGGCGAAGUUCGUCCGCCGGACUCAGAAUGUCCCCAGACUUGGCGGGCGGCCUCCGUGUGCCAAAAAUAGGCCACCGGCACAGCCGCGCCCAAAAAUCAGCCCCCGAAGGUCGGGGUCACAAGACCACCCAGCGGAAAAAUGGCCAAAAAAAGGGUGGGCUAUAGCCUUGGUGGGGGGCGUGGGCGAAGUUUGUCCGCGGGACUCGGAAUGGCCCCAGACUUGGCGGGCGGCCUCCGUGUGCCAAAAAUAGGCGACGGGCACAGCCGUGCCCAAAAAUCAGCCCCCGAAGGUCGGGGUCCCAAGACCCCCCAGCGGAAAAAUGGCCAAAAAACGGGUGGGCUAUAGCCUAUGUGGGGGGCGUGGGCGAAGUUCGUCCGCCGGACUUGGAAUGGCCCCAGACUUGGCGGGCGGCCUCCGUGUGCCAAAAAUAGGCCACGGGUACAGCCGCUCCCAAAAAUCAGCCCCCGAAGGUCGGGGUCCCAAGACCCCCCAGCGGAAAAAUGGCCAAAAAACGGGUGGGCUAUAGCCUUGGUGGGGGGCGUGGGCGAAGUUCGUCCGCGGGACUCGGAAUGGCACCAGACUUGGCGGGCGGCCUCCGUGUGCAAAAAAUAGGCCACGGGCACAGCUGCGCCCAAAAAUCAGCCCCCGGAGGUCGGGGUCCCAAGACCCCCCGGCGGAAAAAUGGCCAAUAAACGGGUGGGCUAUAGCCUUGGUGGGGGGCGUGGGCGAAGUUCGUCCGCGGGACUCAGAAUGGCACCAGACUUGGCGGGCGGCCUCCGCGUGCCAAAAAUAGGCCACGGGCACAGCCGCGCCCAAAAUCAGCCCCCGAAGGUCGGGGCCCCAAGACCCCCCAGCGGAAAAAUGGCUAAAAAACGGGUGGGCUAUAGCCUUGGUGGGGGGCCUGGGCGAAGUUCGUCCGCGGGACUCGGAAUGGCCCCAGACUUGGCGGGCGGCCUCCGUGUGCCAAAAAUAGGCCACGGGCACAGCCGCGCCCAAAAAUCAGCCCCCGAAGGUCGGGGUCCCAAGACCCCCCAGCGGAAAAAUGGCCAAAAAACGGGUGGGCUAUAGCCUAUGUGGGGGGCGCGGGCGAAAUUCGUCGUCCGGACUAGGAAUGGCCCCAGACUUGGCGGGCGGCCUCCGUGUGCCAAAAAUAGGCCACGGGCACAGCCGCGCCCAAAAAUCAGCCCCCGAAGGUCGGGGUUCCAAGACCCCCCAGCGGAAAAAUGGCCAAAAAACGGGUGGGCUAUAGCCUUGGUGGGGGUUGUGGGCGAAGUUCGUCCGCGGGACUCGGAAUGGCCCCAGACUUGGCGGGCGGCCUCCGUGUGCCAUAAAUAGGCCAUGGGCACAGCCGCGCCCAAUAAUCAGCCCCCGAAGGUCGGGGUCCCAAGACCCCCCAGCGGAAAAUUGGCCAAAAAACGGGUGGGCUAUAGCCUUGGUGGGGGGCGUGGGCGAAGUUCGUCGGCCGGACUCGGAAUGGCACCAGACUUCGCGGGCGGCCUCCGUGUGCCAAAAAUAGGCCACGGGCACAGCCGCGCCACAAAUCAGCCCCCGAAGGUCGGGGCCCCAAGACCCCCCAGCGGAAAAAUGGCCAAAAACGGGUGGGCUAUAGCCUAUGUGGGGGGCGCGGGCGAAAUUCGUCGUCCGGACUAGGAAUGGCCCCAGACUUGGCGGGCGGCCUCCGUGUGCCAAAAAUAGGCCACGGGCACAGCCGCGCCCAAAAAUCAGCCCCCGAAGGUCGGGGUUCCAAGACCCCCCAGCGGAAAAAUGGCCAAAAAACGGGUGGGCUAUAGCCUUGGUGGGGGUUGUGGGCGAAGUUCGUCCGCGGGACUCGGAAUGGCCCCAGACUUGGCGGGCGGCCUCCCUGUGCCAUAAAUAGGCCAUGGGCACAGCCGCGCCCAAUAAUCAGCCCCCGAAGGUCGGGGUCCCAAGACCCCCCAGCGGAAAAUUGGCCAAAAAACGGGUGGGCUAUAGCCUUGGUGGGGGGCGUGGGCGAAGUUCGUCGGCCGGACUCGGAAUGGCACCAGACUUCGCGGGCGGCCUCCGUGUGCCAAAAAUAGGCCACGGGCACAGCCGCGCCACAAAUCAGCCCCCGAAGGUCGGGGCCCCAAGACCCCCCAGCGGAAAAAUGGCCAAAAAACGGGUGGGCUAUAGCCUUGGUGGGGGGCGUGGGCGAAGUUCGUCCGCGGGACUCGGAAUGGCACCAGACUUGGCGGGCGGCCUACGUGUGCCAAAUAUAGGCCACGGGCACAGCCGCGCCCAAAAAUCAGCCCCCGAAGGUCGGGGUUCCAAGACCCACCAGCGGAAAAAUGGCCAAAAAAAGGGUGGGCUAUAGCCUUGGUAGGGGGCGAGGGCGAAGUUCGUCCGCGGGACUCGGAAUGGCCCCAGACUUGGCGGGCGGCCUCCGUGUGCCAAAAAUAAGCCACGGGCACAGCCGCGCCCCAAAAUCAGCCCCCGAAGGUCGGGGUCCCAAGACCCCCCAGCGGAAAAAUGGCCAAAAAACGGGUGGGCUAUAGCCUUGGUGGGGGGCGUGGGCGAAGUUCGUCCGCGGGACUCGGAAUGGCCCCAGACUUGGCGGGCGUCCUCCGUGUGCCAAAAAUAGGCCACGGGCACAGCCGCGCCCAAAAAUCAGCCCCCGAAGGUCGGGGUCCCAAGACCCCCCAGCGGAAAAAUGGCCAAAAAACGGGUGGGCUAUAUCCUAUGUGGGGGGCGCGGGCGAAAUUCGUCGUCCGGACUAGGAAUGGCCCCAGACUUGGCGGGCGGCCUCCUUGUGCCAAAAAUAGGCCACGGGCACAGCCGCGCCCAAAAAUCAGCCCCCGAUGGUCGGGGUCCCAAGACCCCCCAGCGGAAAAAUGGCCAAAAAACGGGUGGGCUAUAGCCUUGGUGGGGGUCGUGGGCGAAGUUCGUCCGCGGGACUCGGAAUGGCCCCAGACUUGGCGGGCGGCCUCCCUGUGCCAUAAAUAGGCCAUGGGCACAGCCGCGCCCAAUAAUCAGCCCCCGAAGGUCGGGGUCCCAAGACCCCCCAGCGGAAAAUUGGCCAAAAAACGGGUGGGCUAUAGCCUUGGUGGGGGGCGUGGGCGAAGUUCGUCGGCCGGACUCGGAAUGGCACCAGACUUCGCGGGCGGCCUCCGUGUGCCAAAAAUAGGCCACGGGCACAGCCGCGCCACAAAACAGCCCCCGAAGGUCGGGGCCCCAAGACCCCCCAGCGGAAAAAUGGCCAAAAAACGGGUGGGCUAUAGCCUUGGUGGGGGGCGUGGGCGAAGUUAGUCCGCGGGACUCGGAAUGGCACCAGACUUGGCGGGCGGCCUCCGUGUGCCAAAACUAGGCCACGGGCACAGCCGCGCCCAAAAACAAGCCCCCGAAGGUCGGGGUCCCAAGACCCCCCAGCGGAAAAAUGGCCAAAAAACGGGUGGGAUAUAGCCUUGGUGGGGGGGGGUGGGCGAAGUUCGUCCGCGGGACUCGGAAUGGCCCCAGACUUGGCGGGCGGCCUCCGUGUGCCAAAAAUAGGCCACGGGCACAGCCGCGCCCAAAAAUCAGCCCCCGAAGGUCGGGGUCCCAAGACCCCCCAGCGGAAAAAUGGCCAAAAAACGGGUGGGCUAUAUCCUAUGUGGGGGGCGCGGGCGAAAUUCGUCGUCCGGACUAGGAAUGGCCCCAGACUUGGCGGGCGGCCUCCCUGUGCCAAAAAUAGGCCACGGGCACAGCCGCGCCCAAAAAUCAGCCCCCGAUGGUCGGGGUCCCAAGACCCCCCAGCGGAAAAAUGGCCAAAAAACGGGUGGGCUAUAGCCUUGGUGGGGGUCGUGGGCGAAGUUCGUCCGCGGGACUCGGAAUGGCCCCAGACUUGGCAGGCGGCCUCCCUGUGCCACAAAUAGGCCAUGGGCACAGCCGCGCCCAAUAAUCAGCCCCCGAAGGUCGGGGUCCCAAGACCCCCCAGCGGAAAAUUGGCCAAAAAACGGGUGGGCUAUAGCCUUGGUGGGGGGCGUGGGCGAAGUUCGUCGGCCGGACUCGGAAUGGCACCAGACUUCGCGGGCGGCCUCCGUGUGCCAAAAAUAGGCCACGGGCACAGCCGCGCCACAAAACAGCCCCCGAAGGUCGGGGCCCCAAGACCCCCCAGCGGAAAAAUGGCCAAAAAACGGGUGGGCUAUAGCCUUGGUGGGGGGCGUGGGCGAAGUUCGUCCGCCGGACUCGGAAUGGCCCCAGACUUGGCGGGCGGCCUCCGUGUGCCAAAAAUAGGCCAUGUGCACAGCCGCGCCCAAAAAUCAGCCCCCGAAGGUCGUGGCCCCAAGACCCCCCAGUGGAAAAAUGGCCAAAAAACAGGUGGGCUAUAGCCUUGGUGGGGGGCGUGGGCGAAGUUCGUCGGCCGGACUCGGAAUGGCACCAGACUUGGUGGGCGGCCUCCGUGUGCAAAAAAUAGGCCACGGGCACAGCCGCGCCACAAAUCAGCCCCCGAAGGUCGGGGUCCCAAGACCCCCCAGCGGAAAAAUGGCCAAAAAACGGAUGGCCUAUAGCCUAUGUGGGGGGCGCGGGCGAAAUUCGUCGUCCGGACUAGGAAUGGCCCCAGACUUGGCGGGCGGCCUCCCUGUGCCAAAAAUAGGCCACGGGCACAGCCGCGCCCAAAAAUCAGCCCCCGAAGGUCGGGGUCCCAAN